RNAcentral lists this ribosomal RNA (615 nucleotides) under Acerocnema macrocera. Its description in RNAcentral is "partial 12S ribosomal RNA". Lineage: Eukaryota; Metazoa; Arthropoda; Insecta; Diptera; Scathophagidae. The record is from RNAcentral.
AAAUAUUUCAAUUUUCUUUCACAAUACUAUUACACUAUAAUUAAAAUUAUUUUUUCUUUAUUAAAUACUAAAACAAAACUAUAUAUAAUUAUUUUUAAUAAUUUAAAUCUUAAAAAUCAUAAAUUAAUAAAUAAAAUAUAAUCAAUUUAUAUUGAUUUGCACAAAAAUUUUUUCAAUGUAAAUGAAAUGCUUUACUUAAUAAGCUUUAAAUUGCAUUCUAGGUACACUUUCCAGUACAUCUACUAUGUUACGACUUAUCUUACCUUAAUAGUAAGAGUGACGGGCGAUGUGUGCAUAUUUUAGAGCUAAAAUCAAAUUAUUAAUCUUUAUAAUUUUACUAUCAAAUCCACCUUCAAUAAACAUUUCAAAUUUAUAUUCAUAUAAAUAAAUUUAUUGUAACCCAUUUCUACUUAAACAUAAGCUACACCUUGAUCUGAUAUAUUUUCUUUUUAAAAAUCAUGAAAAUUAACAUUCUUAUAAAAUAUUCUAAUAACGACGGUAUAUAAACUGAUUACAAAUUUAAGUAAGGUCCAUCGUGGAUUAUCGAUUAUAGAACAGGUUCCUCUGAAUAGACUAAAAUACCGCCAAAUUUUUUAAGUUUCAAGAACAUAACUA